GUCUAUGGCCAUGCCGCCCUGAACAUGCUUGAUCUUGUCUGAUCUCAGAAGCCAAGCACGAUUGGGCCUGAUUAGCACUUGGAUGGGAGACCACCUAGGAAUACCAAUACAAAUAAUU
Molecule: ribosomal RNA, 118 nt
Filed under: Pteropus alecto (black flying fox)
Lineage: Eukaryota; Metazoa; Chordata; Mammalia; Chiroptera; Pteropodidae
Source: RNAcentral